Molecule: ribosomal RNA, 235 nt
Filed under: uncultured Staphylococcus sp.
Lineage: Bacteria; Bacillati; Bacillota; Bacilli; Caryophanales; Staphylococcaceae
Description: partial 16S ribosomal RNA
Rfam family: Bacterial small subunit ribosomal RNA
Source: RNAcentral
GGUGAGUAACACGUGGAUAACCUACCUAUAAGACUGGGAUAACUUCGGUAAACCGGAGCUAAUACCGGAUAAUAUAUUGAACCGCAUGGUUCAAUAGUGAAAGACGGUUUUGCUGUCACUUAUAGAUGGAUCCGCGCCGCAUUAGCUAGUUGGUAAGGUAACGGCUUACCAAGGCAACGAUGCGUAGCCGACCUGAGAGGGUGAUCUGCCACACUGGAACUGAGACACGGUCCAG